ACCAAACCGAUAAUCUAGAGUAGUAGAGAAUGAUGAAUGUUUAAAGAGAGCCGUCAAUGGUGAGAAUACGGCAACAGGAAUUUUCUUGAAUGGACUAGAGAGGGCAGCUCUGAAAUCAUAGUAGGAGCUGACGGGAAACCCUAUCCGUUAACAAGCAGGGUACAUAUGAUAGUAUGUAAAACGAGUGGGCGCUAUAACAGCGCCAAUUUGGGUGGUAUCGCAGGAGUCUAAGCUCUUGUCCCUUUU
RNAcentral lists this non-coding RNA (246 nucleotides) under Carnobacterium sp. RNAcentral describes it as "T-box sequence". It matches the Rfam family "T-box leader". From Rfam's summary of the family: Uncharged tRNA acts as the effector for transcription antitermination of genes in the T-box leader family. T-boxes are found upstream of many aminoacyl-tRNA synthetase genes and some amino acid biosynthetic genes usually in Gram-positive bacteria. The anticodon of a specific tRNA base pairs to a specifier sequence within the T-box motif, and the NCCA acceptor tail of the tRNA base pairs to a conserved bulge in the T-box antiterminator hairpin. The record is from RNAcentral. Lineage: Bacteria; Bacillati; Bacillota; Bacilli; Lactobacillales; Carnobacteriaceae.